CCCAUCUCCCUGCACCGCUCCCUUUCCCCAGCCGCCCCCGUGGCUGCGCUCGGGCGCUCACCCGAAGCCCGGCGCCAGCCCCGUGCCCCGUCGGCAACGUCUCCUUGUCCUCCCCUCCCUCCCUGCAGCAGGAUGCUUCCUGUGGCUGCUGGCCUUCGUGCCGCCCGGCGCCGCCGUCCUCGCCUUGAUGUGGUGGGCAGCCCGGCUGCGCCGAAGGCCGGCCCGCGCGGUGCUGAGACGGGGCCCGGAGCCCGAGUGCGAGUACGCGGCGCUGGGGCACUGAGAAGCCCUUUCCCCGCGCCCGCCCUGCCAGAAGCCGCUCACGCCUGCGGUCUGCGAGCAGCGAAAACAAGAGAGGAAAGGGAAAGUGGUGGGAUCCUGCGCUCUGCUGCAUUUCCCUGCUGGGCUGCAUGGCAGAGGGGGAGGAGGAACGCUGAGAGCGCUGCGGGAAGCUCGAUGGCCAUGAGAAAUUGCAUGGAAAUAAUAAAAUCAUGAUUUCUUGGUAAGCAACCGAGGUCUCAGCUUCAUUGGGAUUGCUCCCUGUGCUACCCCGUGUGACAGCCACGGGGAGCUGCUGUUAAACAGGGCAAAAGAAAAGUCCCUUUACACCUCGAGCCUUAAGCACAGCCCUGUUUUAGCCCCUCCUCUCUGCAUUUUGCUUCCUGAAGGGCGACCUUGCACCGUGUGCCGGCUCCGAGGAUGCUCCCCGUGCUCUCAGCACCUUCCCUGUCUGUGGCUGUGUGCAUAACCCCGUGCUGGGGCAUCCCGGCUCCCCUGGCUUUAGGGUUUACCACAACCUCCCCUUCCCCUCCACACGCGUGCUGCUGCUCCUGUGGCUGGGACACGAACCCCAAGGGGAAACCCCUGAGCGACGGAGCCAAAACUUGCGGUGCCCCCAUGGGCUGUGCUGGCCCCUCGGCAUCAGCCGGACGCGCGUGGCUGGAGGAGCAUCUCCAUGGGGAGGGGAAGGGAAGCGAAGCCGCAUUCCAGCCUGGGAGCCAGCUCUGU
This 1008-nucleotide long non-coding RNA is filed under the name Anas zonorhyncha (Eastern spot-billed duck). RNAcentral's name for it is "lncRNA (ENSAZOG00000015608.1)". The record is from RNAcentral. Lineage: Eukaryota; Metazoa; Chordata; Aves; Anseriformes; Anatidae.